Molecule: ribosomal RNA, 956 nt
Filed under: Lysinibacillus fusiformis
Lineage: Bacteria; Bacillati; Bacillota; Bacilli; Caryophanales; Bacillaceae
Description: bacterial SSU rRNA
Rfam family: Bacterial small subunit ribosomal RNA
Source: RNAcentral
UGCAGUCGAGCGAACAGAGAAGGAGCUUGCUCCUUUGACGUUAGCGGCGGACGGGUGAGUAACACGUGGGCAACCUACCUUAUAGUUUGGGAUAACUCCGGGAAACCGGGGCUAAUACCGAAUAAUCUGUUUCACCUCAUGGUGAAAUAUUGAAAGACGGUUUCGGCUGUCGCUAUAGGAUGGGCCCGCGGCGCAUUAGCUAGUUGGUGAGGUAACGGCUCACCAAGGCGACGAUGCGUAGCCGACCUGAGAGGGUGAUCGGCCACACUGGGACUGAGACACGGCCCAGACUCCUACGGGAGGCAGCAGUAGGGAAUCUUCCACAAUGGGCGAAAGCCUGAUGGAGCAACGCCGCGUGAGUGAAGAAGGAUUUCGGUUCGUAAAACUCUGUUGUAAGGGAAGAACAAGUACAGUAGUAACUGGCUGUACCUUGACGGUACCUUAUUAGAAAGCCACGGCUAACUACGUGCCAGCAGCCGCGGUAAUACGUAGGUGGCAAGCGUUGUCCGGAAUUAUUGGGCGUAAAGCGCGCGCAGGUGGUUUCUUAAGUCUGAUGUGAAAGCCCACGGCUCAACCGUGGAGGGUCAUUGGAAACUGGGAGACUUGAGUGCAGAAGAGGAUAGUGGAAUUCCAAGUGUAGCGGUGAAAUGCGUAGAGAUUUGGAGGAACACCAGUGGCGAAGGCGACUAUCUGGUCUGUAACUGACACUGAGGCGCGAAAGCGUGGGGAGCAAACAGGAUUAGAUACCCUGGUAGUCCACGCCGUAAACGAUGAGUGCUAAGUGUUAGGGGGUUUCCGCCCCUUAGUGCUGCAGCUAACGCAUUAAGCACUCCGCCUGGGGAGUACGGUCGCAAGACUGAAACUCAAAGGAAUUGACGGGGGCCCGCACAAGCGGUGGAACAUGUGGUUUAAUUCGAAGCACGCGAGAACCUUACCAGGUCUUGACUCCCGUUGAC